CUCUUUCUUCUUGUUGAAUUGUGUCCUUCUUAUGUGUCGUUGACCCUUUUUACACGACACUUCUUCUGCGACUUCUUCUUCGUGGAGCUUCUUCUCUUUUCUUCAUCUCUUCUCACUGAAGCUUCCUUUUAUUUGUGCAGGUUCAAUUAAGGAAAUCAACUUCAACAAGUUUUCAUCCUUCCCAUUUCCUCGAACCAAGAAGAUGGUUUUUUGUGUUUUUAUUUUGGGGGUGUGCCGGCUGAUUUUAAGAAGCAUAUAAGGAAUGCAUGCAAUACUUUUCUUGUGCCAAGUGCAACAACCAUCAAAAUUCAAAGUUUCUCUGCCACAACUUGAACUUGCUUUAGGUGCAACUGUGCAAGAUCUACUAAUCUCACGUCACGCCUCUACCCUCAAAUCUUUGCAACUUCGGUUUUAUAGAUCUGCUUCUUUUUGUACGUUUCUUUGAUUAGCUGAUCUCCAAAUUAACGAAAUAAAUGGUUCGGAUUUGUUACUCCAUUUACGGAUUACUUG
This 510-nucleotide unclassified non-coding RNA is filed under the name Arabidopsis thaliana (thale cress). The record is from RNAcentral. Lineage: Eukaryota; Viridiplantae; Streptophyta; Magnoliopsida; Brassicales; Brassicaceae.